AUAUUAAUAAGCGGAGGAAAAGAAACUAACAAGGAUUCCCCUAGUAACGGCGAGUGAAGCGGGAAAAGCUCAAAUUUGAAAUCUCCCUGGUUUUUGCCAGGGCGAAUUGUAGUUGAAAGAAACAUUUUCGGAGUUGGAUCAGGUCUAAGUUGCUGACGCGACGAUCAUAGAGGGUGAGAAUCCCGUCUGUGGUUUGAUCUUCAACUCCAUGUGAAUUGUUUUCUAUGAGUCGGGUUGUUUGGGAUUGCAGCCCUAAAUGGGUGGUAAAUACCAUCUAAAGCUAAAUACCAGCGAGAGACCGAUAGCGCACAAGUA
This 315-nucleotide ribosomal RNA is filed under the name uncultured fungus. RNAcentral's name for it is "partial large subunit ribosomal RNA". It matches the Rfam family "Eukaryotic large subunit ribosomal RNA", at positions 40 to 350 of the family's 3401-position model. The record is from RNAcentral. Lineage: Eukaryota; Fungi.